This 497-nucleotide ribosomal RNA is filed under the name uncultured bacterium. RNAcentral's name for it is "partial 16S ribosomal RNA". It matches the Rfam family "Bacterial small subunit ribosomal RNA", at positions 28 to 507 of the family's 1533-position model. The record is from RNAcentral.
GAUGAACGCUGGCGGCGUGCCUAAUACAUGCAAGUAGAACGCUGAAGGAAGGAGCUUGCUCUUUCCGGGUGAGUUGCGAACGGGUGAGUAACGCGUAGGUAACCUGCCUGGUAGCGGGGGGUAACUAUAGGAAACGAUAUAUAAUACCGCAUAAGAGUAGAUAUUGCAUGAUAUUUACUUAAAAGGUGCAAUUGCACCACUACCAGAUGGACCUGCGUUGGAUUAGGUAGUUGGUGAGGUAACGGCCCACCAAGGCGGCGAUACAUAGCCGGGCGGGGAAGGUGGACGGGCAAACUGGGAAUGGGACACGGCCCAGAAUCCCACCGGAGGGAACAGUAGGGAAAUAUUGGAAAAGGACGGAAGGCUGGACGCAGAAAGCCGCGGGGGGGGAGGAGGGUUUCGGAACGUAAAGGUCUGUUGUGAGGGGAGGACGAGUGGUAAGGUAGAAAGUUCACGUUGUGACGGUACCUUAACAGAAAGCGACGGCUAACUACGUG